AUUGAACGCUGGCGGCAGGCUUAACACAUGCAAGUCGAGCGGGGUGAUGGUGCUUGCACUAUCACUUAGCGGCGGACGGGUGAGUAAUGCUUAGGAAUCUGCCUAUUAGUGGGGGACAACAUCUCGAAAGGGAUGCUAAUACCGCAUACGUCCUACGGGAGAAAGCAGGGGAUCACUUGUGACCUUGCGCUAAUAGAUGAGCCUAAGUCGGAUUAGCUAGUUGGUGGGGUAAAGGCCUACCAAGGCGACGAUCUGUAGCGGGUCUGAGAGGAUGAUCCGCCACACUGGGACUGGAACACGGCCCAGACUCCUGCGGGAGGCAGCAGUGGGGAAUAUUGGACAAUGGGGGGAACCCUGAUCCGGCCAUGCCGCGUGUGUGAAGAAGGCCUUAUGGUUGUAAAGCACUUUAAGCGAGGAGGAGGCUCUUUUGGUUAAUACCCAAGAUGAGUGGACGUUACUCGCAGAAUAAGCACCGGCUAACUCUGUGCCAGCCGCCGCAGUAA
RNAcentral lists this ribosomal RNA (503 nucleotides) under uncultured bacterium. Its description in RNAcentral is "partial 16S ribosomal RNA". It matches the Rfam family "Bacterial small subunit ribosomal RNA", at positions 30 to 523 of the family's 1533-position model. The record is from RNAcentral.